Molecule: ribosomal RNA, 806 nt
Filed under: Tolypocladium sp. RG-2013a
Lineage: Eukaryota; Fungi; Ascomycota; Sordariomycetes; Hypocreales; Ophiocordycipitaceae
Description: eukaryotic LSU rRNA
Rfam family: Eukaryotic large subunit ribosomal RNA
Source: RNAcentral
AGUAACGGCGAGUGAAGCGGCAACAGCUCAAAUUUGAAAUCUGGCCCCCAGGGCCCGAGUUGUAAUUUGCAGAGGAUGCUUUUGGCGCGGUGCCUUCCGAGUUCCCUGGAACGGGACGCCAUAGAGGGUGAGAGCCCCGUCUGGUCGGACACCAAGCCAGUGUAAAGCUCCUUCGACGAGUCGAGUAGUUUGGGAAUGCUGCUCUAAAUGGGAGGUAUAUGUCUUCUAAAGCUAAAUACCGGCCAGAGACCGAUAGCGCACAAGUAGAGUGAUCGAAAGAUGAAAAGCACUUUGAAAAGAGGGUUAAACAGUACGUGAAAUUGUUGAAAGGGAAGCGUUUAUGACCAGACUUGGGCCCGGUGAAUCAUCCAGCGUUCUCGCUGGUGCACUUUGCCGGGCCCAGGCCAGCAUCAGUUCGCCGCGGGGGAUAAAAGCUUCGGGAACGUGGCUCCCUCGGGAGUGUUAUAGCCCGUUGCAUAAUACCCUGUGGCGGACUGAGGUUCGCGCUCCGCAAGGAUGCUGGCGUAAUGGUCAUCAGCGACCCGUCUUGAAACACGGACCAAGGAGUCGUCUUCGUAUGCGAGUGUUCGGGUGUCAAACCCCUACGCGUAAUGAAAGUGAACGCAGGUGAGAGCUUCGGCGCAUCAUCGACCGAUCCUGAUGUUCUCGGAUGGAUUUGAGUAAGAGCAUACGGGGCCGGACCCGAAAGAAGGUGAACUAUGCCUGUAUAGGGUGAAGCCAGAGGAAACUCUGGUGGAGGCUCGCAGCGGUUCUGACGUGCAAAUCGAUCGUCAAAUAUGGGCAUG